UAAGUAAUGUGAAUUGCAGAAUUCAGUGAAUCAUCGAAUCUUUGAACGCACAUUGCGCCCUCUGGUAUUCCAGAGGGCAUGCCUGUUUGAGCGUCAUUUCUCUCUCAAACCCUUGGGUUUGGUAUUGAGUGAUACUCUUAGUCGGACUAGGCGUUUGCUUGAAAUGUAUCGGCAUGAGUAGUACUGAAUAGUGCUUCAAGACUUUUUCAAUGUAUUAGGUUUAUCCAACUCGUUGAAUGGUUUAGUAGUAAAUUUUUAGUAUUAUUGGCUCGGCCUUACAAUACAACAAACAAGUUUGACCUCAAAUCAGGUAGGACUACCCGCUGAACUUAA
This 333-nucleotide ribosomal RNA is filed under the name uncultured fungus. Its description in RNAcentral is "eukaryotic LSU rRNA". The stretch from base 1 to 96 matches the Rfam family "5.8S ribosomal RNA", at positions 59 to 154 of the family's 154-position model. Lineage: Eukaryota; Fungi. The record is from RNAcentral.